Molecule: ribosomal RNA, 497 nt
Filed under: uncultured bacterium
Lineage: Bacteria
Description: partial 16S ribosomal RNA
Rfam family: Bacterial small subunit ribosomal RNA
Source: RNAcentral
GAUGAACGCUGGCGGCGUACCUAAUACAUGCAAGUCGAGCGAACAGACGAGGAGCUUGCUCCUCUGACGUUAGCGGCGGACGGGUGAGUAACACGUGGAUAACCUACCUAUAAGACUGGGAUAACUUCGGGAAACCGGAGCUAAUACCGGAGAAUAUAUUGAACCGCAUGGUUCAAUAGUGAAAGACGGUUUUGCUGUCACUUAUAGAGGGAUCCGCGCCGCAUUAGCUAGUUGGUAAGGUAACGGCUUACCAAGGCGACGAUGCGUAGCCGACCUGAGAGGGUGAUAGGCCACACUGGAACUGAGACACGGUCCAGACUCCUACGGGAGGCAGCAGUAGGGAAUCUUCCGCAAUGGGCGAAAGCCUGACGGAGCAACGCCGCGUGAGUGAUGAAGGUCUUCGGAUCGUAAAACUCUGUUAUUAGGGAAGAACAAAUGUGUAAGUAACUAUGCACGUCUUGACGGUACCUAAUCAGAAAGCCACGGCUAACUACGUG